UACGUAGGGUGCGAGCGUUAAUCGGAAUUACUGGGCGUAAAGGCGUGCGCAGGCGGGUUCGUCGUGUCGGCGGUGAAAGCCCCGGGCUUAACCUGGGAAUGGCCGUCGAAACUGGCGAACUGGAGUGUGGCAGAGGGGGGUGGAAUUCCGCGUGUAGCAGUGAAAUGCGUAGAGAUGCGGAGGAACACCGAUGGCGAAGGCAGCCCCCUGGGCUGACACG
This 220-nucleotide ribosomal RNA is filed under the name uncultured bacterium. Its description in RNAcentral is "partial 16S ribosomal RNA". It matches the Rfam family "Bacterial small subunit ribosomal RNA", at positions 524 to 741 of the family's 1533-position model. The record is from RNAcentral.